RNAcentral lists this transfer RNA (77 nucleotides) under bacterium. RNAcentral's name for it is "tRNA-Arg". It matches the Rfam family "tRNA". Rfam says of the family: Transfer RNA (tRNA) molecules are approximately 80 nucleotides in length. Their secondary structure includes four short double-helical elements and three loops (D, anti-codon, and T loops). RNAcentral also lists the same sequence under 2 other names. The record is from RNAcentral.
GCCCCGGUAGCUCAGCCGGAUAGAGCGGCUGCCUUCUAAGCAGCGGGUCGCAGGUUCGAGUCCUGCCCGGGGCGCCA